Small nuclear RNA from Nomascus leucogenys (northern white-cheeked gibbon), 108 nucleotides. The record is from Rfam. NCBI's taxonomy places the organism in Eukaryota, Metazoa, Chordata, Mammalia, Primates, Hylobatidae.
GUGCUUGCUUCAGCAGCACAUACACUAAAAUUGGAACGAUACAGAGAAGAUUAGCAUGGCCCCUGUGCAAGGAGAGUGAAUCUUCCGUAAUGUUCAAAGCUAAUAUUU